This 233-nucleotide RNase P RNA is filed under the name Staphylococcus capitis. Its description in RNAcentral is "partial RNase P RNA component class B". It matches the Rfam family "Bacterial RNase P class B", at positions 1 to 245 of the family's 365-position model. From Rfam's summary of the family: Ribonuclease P (RNase P) is a ubiquitous endoribonuclease, found in archaea, bacteria and eukarya as well as chloroplasts and mitochondria. Lineage: Bacteria; Bacillati; Bacillota; Bacilli; Caryophanales; Staphylococcaceae. The record is from RNAcentral.
UAUUUCGGGUAAUCGCUAUAGCAAUAUAGAGGAAAGUCCAUGCUCACACAGUCUGAGAUGAUUGUAGUGUUCGUGCUUGAUGAAACAAUAAAUCAAGGCAUUAAUUUGACGGCAACGAAAUAACCUAAGUCAUAUGAUAUGGUUAGAAUAGUUUGAAAGUGCCACAGUGACGUAGCUUUUAUAGAAAUAUAAAAGGUGGAACGCGGUAAACCCCUCGAGUGAGCAAUCCAAAU